UAAUGUAUCUGGGUUGGCCUGGUGUCUCUCUACAGACUACAGAGUUAUAUAAUGUAUCUGGGUUGGUCUGGUGUCUCUAUAGACUACAGAGUUAUAUAAUGUAUCUGGGUUGGCCUGGUGUCUCUAUAGACUACAGAGUUAUAUAAUGUAUCUGGGUUGGUCUGGUGUCUCUAUAGACUACAGAGUUAUAUAAUGUAUCUGGGUUGGCCUGGUGUCUCUAUAGACUACAGAGUUAUAUAAUGUAUCUGGGUUGGCCUGGUGUCUCUACAGACUACAGAGUUAUAUAAUGUAUCUGGGUUGGCCUGGUGUCUCUACAGACUACAGAGUUAUAUAAUGUAUCUGGGUUGGCCUGGUGUCUCUAUAGACUACAGAGUUAUAUAAUGUAUCUGGGUUGGCCUGGUGUCUCUACAGACUACAGAGUUAUAUAAUGUAUCUGGGUUGGCCUGGUGUCUCUAUAGACUACAGAGUUAUAUAAUGUAUCUGGGUUGGUCUGGUGUCUAUAGACUACAGAGUUAUAUAAUGUAUCUGGGUUGGCCUGGUCUCUCUACAGACUACAGAGUUAUAUAAUGUAUCUGGGUUGGCCUGGUGUCUCUAUAGACUACAGAGUUAUAUAAUGUAUCUGGGUUGGCAUGGUGUCUCUACAGACUACAGAGUUAUAUAAUGUAUCUGGGUUGGCCUGGUGUCUCUACAGACUACAGAGUUAUAUAAUGUAUCUGGGUUGGCCUGGUGUCUCUAUAGACUACAGAGUUACAGCCAAGGUUGUCCUCCAUCGUCUUUCAUACUCACAUUCUACAUAACAAACAAUCUCAACAACGACCAUCGCUGGCUUCAUACUUCUGGCAAAUUGUUGUUACGUGCUAAAAAAAAAUUUGUCCCAAAUGGCCCCUUAUUCCCUACAUAGAUGGCCCCUUAUUCCCUUCAUAGAUGGGCCCCUUAUUCCCUACAUAGAUGGGCCCUUAUUCCCUACAUAGAUGGCCCCUUAUUCCCUACAUAGAUGGGCCCCUUAUUCCCUACAUAGAUGGCCCCUUAUUCCUUACAUAGAUGGCCCUUAUUCCCUACAUAGAUGGCCCCUUAUUCCCUACAUAGAUGGCCCCCUUAUUCCCUACAUAGAUGGGCCCCUUAUUCCCUACAUAGAUGGCCCCUUAUUCCCUACAUAGAUGGCCCCUUAUUCCCUACAUAGAUGGCCCCUUAUUCCCUACAUAGAUGGCCCCUUAUUCCCUACAUAGAUGGCCCCUUGUUCCCUACAUAGAUGGCCCCUUAUUCCCUACAUAGAUGGCCCCUUAUUCCCUACAUAGAUGUCCCCUUAUUCCCUACAUAGAUGGCCCCUUAUUCCCUACAUAGAUGGCCCCAUGUUCCCUACAAAGAUGGCCCCUUAUUCCCUACAAAGUUCACUAUUUAUUUGCCUUAUAUGCGUGGCUA
RNAcentral lists this long non-coding RNA (1419 nucleotides) under Oncorhynchus mykiss (rainbow trout). RNAcentral's name for it is "lncRNA (ENSOMYG00000053113.1)". The record is from RNAcentral. Lineage: Eukaryota; Metazoa; Chordata; Actinopteri; Salmoniformes; Salmonidae.